CUAACUUUGGGACUUGAAAAUAAGUAAUUUGACCAAAUUUUGGCAAGACUGAGGCAGGUCGUAAGUGAGGGUGGACGUAAGUCGAGUAGGUCGUAAGUUGGGGAGUAGCUGUAUACUUUAUUGUAAUAUUGUCUUUGCCUAUGUAAAUACAGUACACUUUAGAUUUUAAUGAAUAAUUUUUUGAAACAAGAUACAGAUUCAGCAUACGUAGCCAAAAUAAUAAUAAUUCCCAUGAGCAUAUAUGUACUGCAGCACAGCUAUUAGCUCUUGGGAAGACAAGCACUGGAAAUUUGCAAUCAGCCCAGGUUUUAACUUCAGGUGAUGUGUGUAAUGCAAUAUUAUGUGGAAUAAAAUUUUCUAUAAA
This is a long non-coding RNA of Homarus americanus (American lobster), 364 nucleotides long. RefSeq lists it as uncharacterized. NCBI's taxonomy places the organism in Eukaryota, Metazoa, Arthropoda, Malacostraca, Decapoda, Nephropidae. The transcript is spliced from 2 exons. The record is from RefSeq and is a predicted model, not a curated record.